RNAcentral lists this ribosomal RNA (996 nucleotides) under uncultured Planctomycetota bacterium. Its description in RNAcentral is "bacterial SSU rRNA". It matches the Rfam family "Bacterial small subunit ribosomal RNA", at positions 509 to 1504 of the family's 1533-position model. Lineage: Bacteria; Pseudomonadati; Planctomycetota. The record is from RNAcentral.
CAGCAGCCGCGGUAAUACGAAGGUGGCUAGCGUUGUUCGGAAUCACUGGGCUUAAAGAGCACGUAGGCGGCUUAUCAAGCGUUAUGUGAAAUCCCUCGACUCAAUCGAGGAAUUGCUUAGCGAACUGAUAGGCUUGAGGCAGGCAGGGGCAAGUGGAACUCUUGGUGGAGCGGUGGAAUGCGUAGAUAUCAAGAGGAACGCCAGAGGCGAAGGCGACUUGCUGGGCCUGACCUGACGCUCAGGUGCGAAAGCUAGGGGAGCGAACGGGAUUAGAUACCCCGGUAGUCCUAGCCCUAAACGAUGUCAACUAGAUCGAUGGUUCUCUGACGUUCUGUCGGUCGAAAUAAAAACGUUAAGUUGACCGCCUGGGGAGUACGGUCGCAAGGCUAAAACUCAAAGGAAUUGACGGGGGCUCACACAAGCGGUGGAGCAUGUUGCUUAAUUUGAUGCAACGCGAAGAACCUUAUCCUGGGCUUGACAUGUUAGGAUGCCCAUCUGGAAACAGAGUAGGCUGCCCUUCGGGGUGAAACUUUCACAGGUGCUGCAUGGCUGUCGUCAGCUCGUGUCGUGAGAUGUUGGGUUAAGUCCCGUAACGAGCGAAACCCUUGUCGCUAGUUGCCAGCGCGUUAUGGCGGGGACUCUACAGAGACUGCCGGUGUUAAACCGGAGGAAGGUGGGGAUGACGUCAAGUCCUCAUGGCCUUUAUGCCCAGGGCUGCAAACGUGGUACAAUGGUAGAUACAAACCGACGCAAGACCGCGAGGUGGAGCAAAUCGGAAAAAGUCUGCCCCAGUUCGGAUUGUAGUCUGCAACUCGACUACAUGAAGUUGGAAUCGCUAGUAAUCGUAGAUCAGCUACGCUACGGUGAAUGUGUCCCUGAGCCUUGUACACACCGCCCGUCAAGUCAUGGAAGCUGGUAGCGCCCGAAGUCGGCCCAAUUCAGGGUCGCCGAAGGUGAGAUCGGUGACUGGGACUAAGUCGUAACAAGGUAACCGUA